Molecule: transfer RNA, 64 nt
Filed under: Ixodes lasallei
Lineage: Eukaryota; Metazoa; Arthropoda; Arachnida; Ixodida; Ixodidae
Description: tRNA-Val
Source: RNAcentral
UAAAAUGGUUAUAAGAAAUAACAAAAUUUUCAUUGUAAAUGAAACAUCAAAUUGAUUUCAUUUU